Pecten maximus is the source of this 4124-nucleotide long non-coding RNA. RefSeq lists it as uncharacterized. The transcript is spliced from 2 exons. NCBI's taxonomy places the organism in Eukaryota, Metazoa, Mollusca, Bivalvia, Pectinida, Pectinidae. The record is from RefSeq and is a predicted model, not a curated record.
UGACGUCAGAAAUCGUACACCAAUCGUUUAUGUAUUGUAUAUAAAUAGCUGAGAAGUGUCCAGGUUGGCAGAGAGGAGAGGACAGGAGGACACCGAGAAGUGUCCACUAUAUGGAGCCCGUGGUCAGGACAAUCACUUGACCUCCUCGGAUUCGUAAAUAGUCACGCCCAAUUUCACAAGGAAGCAAAGGACGUGAGCUAUGACGUAUUUGGGUACAAAGGUCACACGGGUACCUCCUGUUUCUGUCGGAGUGUGUCUCGACCCCUAUACCGCCGGGGAAGAGAAAUCGUGGAUGGGAUUUACGUGAUGAAAGCAAUGACAUGUGGUAAAGGAGUUGAGAUAGAUUGUGAUCAAUCAAAAACUGUAAGACAGGAAAAUGUAAUGAAGGUUGAGAAUGAAAUAGAAAACAACGGAAAUGUCGAGGAUGAAAACAGCGACGAUCCAAUUAGAUGACACGAUUUAUUAAAACUGUUAAGGUACCAAUUACUCUAAAACAUUAUAUCCAGCAGCGAUCAUUUGUUAACUACACGAUCACCGCGUGGAACACUGAUAAUAUAAACCAAAAUCUGAAGAUUCCUGUGUAAACAUUGGAGGAUACAAUCAUUAAUAAACAACAUCGUUUGAGGGUGAAUUCGAGAUUUUGAGGGUUUAAGGAAAUCGAUAUAUCACUUCAACGUCCCACCUGGAAGAUGGAAAGACACGCGAGUCAGUCAUGAACAGGUCUGUCCGGAUGGCGGGAUACCUAAUCAGAACCGUUUAUUUUGACUGCUGACAAUAAUUCCUAACUUUACGAAAACUGCUUGGAUAUAAUCGUAAUCAGAAAUUAUUUGUGUUAACUCUGAAAAUAUUGAAAUGAGUUAAAAUUUUUGAGUUUUGAUCUGUGGAAAGUGCAGUUCAUUUUUAAUGAACAUCGCCAAAUCCUUCGUAUCCACUAGGUAAUUGAUAUAAAGGCAUAAGGAACAACCUUCUCAUGCUGAGGCCUCGUUAUGUAGUUGUUUCUAGAUAGCCUGGCAGGUUAUAGUAACGAAAAGAUAUAGGAUCUGAAAUGAGUCCUCAUUUUGAGCUUUUACGAAAUUAGUAUUAUAUUUUUUUAUUUAUUUUUGGAAGCCUUGGCGAGCAAAAAUCAAAAUUUCAAGACGGGUUUCGUAAAAUCACAUAAGAAAUGAAAACAAAUAUAAGAUACUAGUACUUUUAUCACAUAACAUACCUUUCGAUAUGCUUUAAAGUGUAAAUAUGGAUGGCUGAUUAUGUGAUGAAAAGUUCUGUUCGAUAUCUGUACAUGUAUAUAAGUAUGUAAACAGAAUUAUGUACAAAGAUCAGUUGAUUAGCUUUGCAUUGUUUGAUUCAAAGUUUUAUUUUUUUUAAAUUGUAUAUAGUUUCUGACAUUAUUUUUAUUACAUUUUAUAGUUUUACAGUAUAUAAGCAUUGUUGUGUCUAAAGCCACUAGAAUACUUACAUAUUUCCACAGACUUAGAUACUCUAAUAUACAUGUAUGUCAAUGAUACAUUCUACAACAUAUUCUGCUUAAUACAAUGUAUAUAUUGAUAAACCAAUUAUAUUGUGUAGUGUGAUAUUAUACUUAAAAGUCAAAUACUAUAAAUACUGUUGUAGCCUGUGUAGUAUUAUCUGUAUACUAGUACGAUGAUCACGUGGAACACUAGUAAUAUGACCAUCGUGUUGAACGUUGAAUGCUUUCAAGGCUUGAAAACUUUAGAAGUAUGUUUUGAGGAUAACGGUACCAAUGAACGUCAGGAAAGUGUAUUCUAAUCAUCGAGAUUUUUUCUUAAAUUCAUAUAACUCUUUUGAAUAUUAUUCUGGAAGAUCUCAAAAACAGCAAACAAAGUGUGCAUGCGAGUCUAUUCAUGAACAUCUCUGAGCCAAAGACAGUGUGUCAACAUUCAGAACCGUUUAAUUUUGACUUUUGCAGUAUAGAAUACUAGUUUUCUAUGAAAAAAAUCGUAGCUUUGACUGGGAAAACCACGAUAUGUUUCUAUCGGAAAAGUGUCGUAUCUGACAACGAUAUUUAAGACGGAUUAUUAAAACCUGGCAUGUUUGUCCGAUGCCUAAAAUAUGUCCAUAACGAAAACUUCUUGUAUCACUUGGAAAACUGGAAAAGCAAAGACCGUCCGAAACUCUACACACCAAAUUGAUAACGAGUGUCUUUAAUAGAGGAGAUCACGUGACAUAAAGGAAUAAGGAACUUACUCGUCUUUAGGCCCACAUCGUCAAAUCUGGAUACUGGAGUAGAUGUAAAUAGCUUUAUACAGAUAAAUUGAUUAGAAUUUCAUAGUUUAUGGAUAUGUUUCUUCAGUGAUUGUGUUUGGAGUAAAAUUGUAGGUUUAAAUAAUUGCAUGUGAAUAUGGUUGACAUAGAUAGAUUUUCAGAUAUCAGAAUAGGUUGUAUAUAUGUAUACGGCAUUGUUGUGUAAGUCUUUUGCCAUUAACGUACAUUCUACUACUAGUUUUGUGUAAUAUUAGUUGUAUAACUAUCAACCAAAUAUUACUGUAUCAUGUAUGUCAAUAAUCUGGUUGUAUUUAUUACAGACCUAUAAUCAAAAUAGUGUGUACCCAUACAUGUAGAUAGUUUAGUGAGCUAUUAUCAGCAUGCAUGUUUAAAGUAUGUCUUAGGCUUGUGCAAGUUUUAGAUUUUUUUCAUUUUUUUUUUUUUUUUUUCAAAUUUAAAGAAUUAUGUUAACAAUAACAUUAAUUCAAUUUGCUAUUAAACAGAUUGAUCAAUCUAUAUCAUUAUACCCACUGCAAAUAUAGUUAUGUAACUGCUUUCCUUCCGAUGAAUUAAUUUGUCUUAAUUUAGGUUUCUUUGCAAGUCCCCAUCCAGAUUUUGACAUUUCUUCUGUUUCGAGUUUAGUCACAUGUUCUGAUCACUUUAGGUCUUCAGCAUGACAUUGUAUUACCUCCGAUUUUAUUUUUGUUUGUGUGUAGAAUGUAAGACAUUAUUUUCAAAACAUAACGCACUUAACAAUCCCCAUUAAUAUUUUUAUCCCAUCAUAAAUUCUCUACAUUAUCUACAUUUAGGGGGAAGGGCUCUAUUUUUAGGGUAAAAUUAUGUUUAAUGUUUAUUGAUACAAAAGAUGUUAUAUAUAUUAUUUCAUGUUAUAUAUGUGUACGGACAAAAACAAAACAAAAAAAAUACAAAAGAUAUUUGCAUGUGAAAUGUUUAUUCCCUUAGUACGUAUUAAUAGGACUUGUAUCUACAAUACUCGAAAAGAAGCUAAAUCGAAAUCAUAUGUUUACGACAUUGAAAAAAAAACUAAAACAUUACAUUGUAGUUGUGUUACGUAGGAUGUUAUAACUAAUAAUUAACUAAUCGCCAAUACUAAGAUAAUGAAUAUACCGGUGGGUGGCUUGUACUAUACACUUAGUAAUGACGUGGUAAAUGCUAUGUAUAAAGGUUACUAACGGUCUAUAUUAUUACUCUGUGUGUGUUUUGAAUAGUAUAACCAAGUCAAGCUCGUGUGAUAUAAGGUAUUAUACCUAAUGAUAGGCAGGUGAUAUCAAUUAUGUAAUGGAUGUUUGCAACAAGUGAUACCUUAAGCGCAGUGUGGUUAUAAGCUUCAGUCAAUUUAAAACAUAUAUAAAAUAUUCAUGUAAAUAUUGAUAUUUUUUCUUUUUCAUCUUUUUUUUAUCAAUAUCCCAUUUUUUCACACCUAUAUGUUUAACUUAUAGGCAUCUGAAAUGGGAAUGUAUUUUAUACGUCAGAAUUCUCUUACUGAACUGUGUUUUAUCUGAGAGCUGCAAUGUUGUCAUUUGUGCAAAUAGAACACGAUUAAAAUUCUGUACUGUGUACAUGACAUUUCCAUUUCAUUUAAAGAAGUCGCACCCAAUAUCAUGCCAUAUAUAAUCAAACAAUGCCAGACAAUGGAAAUAAUAUCAAGUAAAAUCUAAUGUGUUGGUUAUAUAAGCGAGCAGAGAACAUUGUAAUAAAAUAAAAUAAAUUUAAGAUUACGAUGAUCAUGUAUAACCAACCAGAAUGUGUUUCGGGAAUAUUCGUGAAAAAAAAAUGUUUGGUUUUUUUUAAAUGUCCUGUACAGCUGUAAUUACUUGUACCUAUGUCGUGAAUAAUAAAAAUGUUUGUUAAUUUAUGAAGAAUAAAACAUUGUUAACUUG